CAGAAAGAGAAGAUGGCGCUCAGCUGCCUCAGGAAGUGACGUCGCCUCAUUUGCAUGCCGGCCAGGCCAGCCAAUGGGUGUGGAGUGUGCCUGGGGACCCCCUGGGCCCUUUCCACUGGACUCUCCUGGCCCCUGGACCCCGUGGGCCUCCAGGCCCUGGGAGGGGGUGGGCCCCCCCACGACCCUCCCCUCAGGGGCCAGGGGGGGCCGGGGGGCCAGCCUGUCAACUCUCCCCCAGCUCCAGGCAAACUCUCGAGAGAGUUUGGCUGGGUGGUGACGUCAUCAAGGGGGUGGGGCGAGCCGUCGUGCCGCACGUGACCGGUCACGUGGUCUGCCCAAAGCUCUGACUUUUUUGCAUGAGAUGGGGCGGAGCCAGUGGCAGCCAAGUGGGUAGCCCCGCCCAUACCUACAGACCAAUAAGAAGCCAGCCCUGAGGAUAGUGUCGUGUCAUUGGAGGAUAAGAUUUAAACUCUAGGAACUUGGACCAGUGGGCCUAUGAUUGACAUAUCUUGGUCAUGUAUGUGUCCAUAAAACCAAACUCCCACCAACCGCCAUCACCACAUGUCUACGUUCCACCCAAGCUGGUCGUACAUCGUGCUCACCCUGCCCUGUCCGAAACCUUUAUCCUCCUGCCUCAGUUGUGCCAUUUUAUACUGAGCCUUCUGUUCAGUUUUGUCCAGUGACUAGAAAUAGUAAGCACUCAAAGUUUAACUGAUCUGAUUGUGAAGCUACAGCAGCAAGUGAGCAGGAUGUCCCUGUUCAUCUCCCUUGAGAAGCUGGGUGAAGUGAAAAGUUAGCUACAGCCUUCCAGCCUUCCAUCAAGCAAACGAUGCUCACAAGUGCCUCAUCACUUCUUCCCAUUUCUCAAAAUAAGUCUAUGCUAUGUCCCUUCUCUUAGCCAUCCUUGACUCUUCAGGCUCAGGCAUUGCCUCUUCAGGACCACCACACUGCAGAAACCACUGGUCACCAGUGAUUUCCUAGUUGUUGAAUCCAAGAACAGACUAGUCCUCACUUCUUGGACCGGUCUUUCAUCUGUAACCACUAUGGGAACUCUUCCUGAAGCCCUCAACUCACAAGCUUGCUGUUCAGUUUUCACCAGUGUUCACAGAAUCUGCCCGUUUUUCUACGUCAUUCAACACAUAUUCACUGGUCACCUCCUUUGCCAGGGAGUGUAAUAAGAUACUGGAAAUCCAUACCUUUCAUUCAAUGUGGAAAUCCAUAUUCUCCCCCUGUUGAGCUCAACUACAAACCCCAUUAUUUCAACUUCUAAGCCUUAUCUUACCAGGUGCAUCAGGCAGACCUAUAAUCCCAGUGCCACAGAGGCUGAGGUAGGUGGGUUACAAGUCAAGACCAGCCUUGUCUCAAAACAGAAAACAAAGAUAGGAGCAAAGGAGAGAGAGAAUCCUCCAGUUCCUAAUUAGAAGUGGGUGGGACCCAUUGCACUCCCCAAACCCCUCCCCACAGGCAGGGUGCUGCUCUUUCACUCUUCCCACGUUGAGUUCCCAUCCGCACCAUAUGUUCCUCACAGGUGCUUCCUCCCCUGCAGCCCUGCCACUGCUGCCAGUGGUAAACUAAGCCUGUUUGCACACUGGCAGGCUCCCGGCCAGCCUCCAGCUUGUCCCCAGGGACUUUCCCCAGUCAGCCAUCUUUGUGAUGUAUCAAAAAGCAGGUAUGAUCCAUCAGAUUGUGUCAUGUCCUUAACCCCAUCUUCAAGGAAAGGACUAGAAGAAACCAUCUGGCAGCAGGAGAAACUCCAGGAUCACCUUCUAAGAUUAAAGGGGCUCAGGAGAAAUGGCACCCUGGACAUGAGACAGUCAGUCUCCACCUGCCAUCAAUGUGCUCUGUCACAACUCAGUACAAGGGAAUAGGAGCUUUUCUCCCAAUAGAAAGAAAGCUGUCUCAAGGGACCCUUAGGUAAAGAUUGAUGAUGACUUCUCUUUUGACUUAGAAAGAAGAAAGGUGACAGAUCUGACCUAAAAGAUUGACACCAGUACCAGGUUUUACUUACUGAGGCCUGACUCUUAGCACUAGCAUGUUGGGCCUUCAGUUUUUAUAUGAAUUCAGGAAACACAUUGUGAAGCCCUGGGCCAUAAAAAGGUAGAAUGUAUUUGGGGAAGGAAACCUGGCAUCCAGUUUUCCUCCUUUUUUAGUUUUUUUGUUUAGUUUUGUUUUGUUUGUGGAGCCUGCCCUUGAACUUGUUCUGCAGACCAUGUUGGCCUUCAACUCACAGAGAUCCAUCUGCCUCUGCCUCCCAAGGGCUGGGAUUAAAGGCAUGCGCCACCAACGCCUGGCCCAGUUUUCCUACUUUUAACUUAUAUGCGUCUUUGGUUCCUUAAAGUUUUCCAGCAUUUGCAGGUAGUCAAGGAAGGGUGGCUUUUAAUAAGAGGUAGCACAAGUUCCUUAAUGGUAUGUGUGCCUUGAUCACUCAGUGUGAAAGUUGGCAUGUUCUAACAGGGAAAAACAAAAGCAAGUAGGUUAUUAGCAAGUAUAAGGGCUGUGGCUUGGGGUCAAUGCUUCCAUCCAUCCAGAAAACAGUUAUUAAAUAAAACAUAUUCAAACCCAUGGAAGGAGCAAAUUGGACAAAGUCUACCUGCAUGUGUUGAAAUCACUCUUGGGGCUUAACCCUACCAUGGUAGACUUUUGUUUGAUUGUAUCGUAGAGCUAGAUAUGACCUCAAGUGUGUUUUUAAAAGGUUUCCCACCAAAGCUGACUUAAUAUACUACAAAUUUUUCUUUACUGUGACAAGUACUUUCAUUGUGUAUUUGACACUACCUGGUACCACUAAGUGUCUUCCUGUAAGUGUCACAGAUUGACUAAGUGGGAGCCAGGGAGACUCUUCCUAGCUUCCUCCUCAAAUCUAUAGCUAAAGAUGCAUACACUGACCCUCAGGAGUUUAGCUGGUAUCAUAUUGUUUGUAAAACUGAUGGACAAAUGACCUUUUAUUGUUGUUGUUUGUUGGGUUUUUUGGUUUUUCAAAACAGGGUUUCUCUGUGUAACUUUGGAGCCUGUCCUGGAACUCACUCUGUAAACCAGGCUGGCCUUGAAAUCACAGAGAUCCACCUGUCUCUGCCUCCCAAAUUCUGGGAUUAAAGGCAUUCGACACCAGUCAUAUGACCUUCCAAAGAGCAUUUCCUUCAACUUACAUGGAGUCUCUUUGGGUGGGCUCCACCUUUGUGAUAGAUGAGCAUAGCUCAAGGGUGGGAACAAGCCGAAGUGAGAAACACUUUGCUUCCAAAGUAUUGCAAAGUGAUGUUCUAACAAUGUGGGUGUAAGGGGGAAACAGGGUUUCUUUUUUCCAUUCUCCUUUUAGCAGUCUUCACAGAUAGUUAUUCCAUUUUGAUUUUUAAUCUCUGGUCACCAAGAAAUGUGGCACAACUUCUCCUAGCCAAAGAAUGAUGUAGUGAAUACCAGCUGUCCUCAGAUCCAAGUCACUUUUGACACUGUCUCCUGGAGUUCAUCCAGUCUCUCAGUGCUCGUUCCACUUCCAAUGAACCAAUUAAUGCCUUGUCAGUCACUUCAUGCCCACGUUGGAGGGUCCAGCAUCCCACCAAUUCCUGCAUCUCCUCCUCCUUGGGUUAGGUUGACUUGGAAUGAUGGCUCUAAGAACUUGGGGAACAUGCUCACUGGUUUGUUUAUAGAAUACUACAGAGGAUUCUGGUGUACACCAGAUGGGGGAGAUGCUCGGGAAUAUGGGAAGGGAACAGCCCUAUGCUCUCAGGAAGAGCCUGAGAAUCUCCAAAUGUUCCGUUAUCAAGAUGCUUCAUGAAUGCAGCCUUGAUGAUCA
Molecule: non-coding RNA, 3784 nt
Organism: Cricetulus griseus (Chinese hamster)
Lineage: Eukaryota; Metazoa; Chordata; Mammalia; Rodentia; Cricetidae
Source: RefSeq, a predicted model, not a curated record